Molecule: long non-coding RNA, 3114 nt
Organism: Pseudopipra pipra
Lineage: Eukaryota; Metazoa; Chordata; Aves; Passeriformes; Pipridae
Exons: 2
Source: RefSeq, a predicted model, not a curated record
CUUGUCAGCAGCAGUGGGAUAAUGGCUUUGGGGAGAUGGCAGCAGGCACAUGAACAUCCCGCUCUUGCAGCUGCUGAGGAGGUUGAUCUCCUGGGCUUGGCUGGAGGAGGUGGCACCUGUGUUGAGUAAUUGCUGAAAUCCAAUCGAUCUGGGAUGACCCCAAAUGACAGUUUAGUUUUCAGCUUGCUCGAGCUGUAUCUCAGCAGCUUUUGGGUAUCAUUUUUGGCCCCCAGACAGGACACCUCUGCCUGAUCUCCCGCGGAUCCGAGGGAUCUCUGGAUCUUCACGCCAGCACCAGGACUUUGCUGCAGAAGAGCACAGAUCCCCAGCCCAGUCUGGGACACAGAACCUGUGAAAGGGCAGAAAGAUUGUGGUGUGAAUGCAGCGCCCUCAGAGCCCUUGGUGUGAGCCCGGAAAGGAAAAUCCAGCUGAGGGACAAGAUCAGUCUAAUUUGGGGACAUUGUUGGAGGUUGGAGUUGCAGUUCUGGAAGAAAUCCCUGAGGAAAUGGUGCCCCAGGGAGAGGAAGAGGAUGAGAGCGUGGGCAGCCUGCUUCAAACAUCCCCCCAGGAGACUUGGGAUCAGUCCCUGUGCAUCCUGUAAGAAAGAUGGACACUGGAAAUGGGAUUGUCCGCAACUGAAACUUCAGAACCCUCCGAACCCUCUCGUGGCAUCACUGAAGACGACUGAGGGGGCACCAGAGGAUUCUUCCCCAUCAGAACAUCUGGUUCCAGCCAAGCUAAGCACAAUUGUUUGUGGCUGUGGGAACUUGUUCCUCUGUGUUAAAUCCAGGGAAAUGAAACUCAAGGGACAAUUCUAGAACAAUUGUCUGGUGUGCCAGGGAAUUGGGAAACUGGGCCAUUUUUAAUGCUGUGGCUUUGAAAUUGGGAAAACAGUGGUUGGCUCCCCAGUUUUUGUAUUUCCCCAAUUCCCCAAAGCCUCUGCUUGGGAGAGAUCUCUUGGCAAAAUGAAAUGCCACAAUCCAAUUGAAAAAUGGUCCAAUAUAGGUUAUUAUUGCAGAGCCUAAUUCUGUGGAAGUUUCUAGUUUUGCAUGAGAGUCUCUCAAAGCAGAAGUAAUCCAUCUGCCACCAUCACUUGGGGAUGCAGUGGUUCCAACAGGAUGGGCUGGAGAGGUGCCUCCAUGAUCCAAGAGAGCAGAACCCGUGAGAAUUCCAGAGAAACCUGGAGUGGGGUUGGUGAGGCCAAAGCAAUGUCCUUUGCAAAUAGAAAGUUGUAAGGGAUUCUCACCCUUUGUAGAACAAUUGAUGAAAUUUUGCUUGUGAAAAGAAUGUGAAUCUAAAUGGAAUGCUCCAGUUUUGCCAGUCAAGCAGGCAAAUGGAAGGCUAUGCCAGUUAGUCCAAGACCUUAGAGCUGUAAAGAACAGAGUAGAAGAUAUACAAGCAGUCAUAGUGAAUCCUUACACUUUGCUAACUCCCCUAAAUGAGGGUUUAAUAUGUUUCACAGCAUUAGGUUUGAAAACUGCCUUUUUGUGUCUCCCUUUGAGUUGGGAAAGUCAAGAGCUUUUUGCUUUCCAAUGGGAAAAUGCAAAGCCGGGGAGGAAAACCCAUCUGACUUUGGUGGUCCUCUUGCAGGGGUUUAAAAAUAGGCCCCAAUAUUUGGAACUCAAUUGGCAAAGGGACUGGAGGAAUGGAGAAGUCCAAACCCACCCUCUUGGAGCCUUAUUGCAGUGUGGGGAUGAUCUUUUGAUGCCACUGAUGCUGAGCAGCAACGUUGGGGUCAGACUGUGGCCCUGUGGAAUUUCCUUGGGCUGAGUGGAUAUGGGGUAUCCCAAACACAAAGUGCAAGUAGUCCAGAGCCCAGGAGCCUCCGUGGGCUUUGGAAUUCUCCAAGGACAAGGGAGGCUGGGCCAGGAAGGAAAGAAGCAACCUGUCAACUGCCCCAGCCCCAGCAAAGGAAGCCCAGAGCGGGAUUGCUUCCAGACUAGAGGAGAAGUGUAUUGGGGCAGAGCUGACUUAGGAGACAGCCCCUUGGAAAGUCCUGGUUGGGAAUUGUUUCCCAGUGGGGGCAGCUUUGUCCGGCAUGGAAAACAAUUCUCUGGAUGCACAGAACUCCCCACCACCAGGUCAGAGAUCCUGACAGAGAUCCUUCUCCCAGUAGAAGAAAAUGAGUCUAGUGCUAAGGAUUGUCAACUCCUUGAAACCUUAGAGCAAACUUUGCUCCAGGAGGCUGGGCAGUUCCCCCAAGUGGGCAAAUAAUAGUCCCUGAGCCAAUCUCCUGUGACCUGGUGGAUGGGGAACAUGAGGGGAUUCCUUGGAGUGAAGCAAAUUAUUGAAACAUUUGCACAAGUGGGUUCUUGGUCCAAAACUGACCCCAGUUGUACAAGCAGUGAGUCAGCAGUGUGGUGUGUGGAAGAGAAAUAAUCCAAACCCUGCCACUGGAGUGGGAACAGGUGAUGGAAAAUGCAGAAAUGCUGCAGGUGAAUGUUGGCAGAUGGAUGUGACUGAAUUGCCCAGACAAGGGGGGUGUAAAGAUCUCCUGGUCUUGGGGGAUACCUUCUCUGGGUGGCCAGAGGCUGUUCCUUGUUGCACUAAGCAGGUUGGGAAAGAGACUGCAAUCCUGUUCAGUGCAAUCCUCCCUGUAUUUGGGAUGCCUUUGGGAAUGUCAUCAGACAGAGGUUCCCACUUGACUGCAGAAACAAAAUGCUUCACUCUUGUUUUGCUCUUCUGACAACAGUUCAAACACUGUUGACGUGGGAGGAAAAUUUACAUGUCUUUUUAGUGCCAAAGGUGAUCCAAGUGUUGCCCACAAGUGUCUGUAUUAAGUAAGCAAGACUCUGUAAGGAAUCUGGAAACUGUGUGUGUAAUGUAAAGCCCUGUGUGGCUGUCACUGAAGUGCUGAGGCUGAACAACAGCCCCUGAGCCAAAGCUGAGCUCUAGAUGAACCUUCCAACCUAAUGGGCUGUGUCUCCAUGUAUCUGCUCCUGAGCUAAAACUGGGUCUAUUUGUUGGUACAAAUGUGGUGGGAUGGGACUCCACCUGUGUAUCUGCUCCUGAACCAAACAGGUGUGCUUCUUAGGAAGAUCUGUUAGUCUGGGCUCAUCAGUGAAUCCUGUUUGUAUCUGUUCCUUAACAAAAGAUGUCUGAUUGUGAGCAAAA